UCAACCAGCAGAGGCAUUGCAGAUGUGGCUGCCGUAUCACAUAUGGGUCAGUAGGUGGCAGAGCAGAGAGAGGGGCUAUGUCUACACUCAGUGUUCUGCCCGUCUAUCUGAAUGAUUAGUAGCCAAGCACU
Molecule: small nucleolar RNA, 131 nt
Organism: Mus pahari (shrew mouse)
Lineage: Eukaryota; Metazoa; Chordata; Mammalia; Rodentia; Muridae
Product: small nucleolar RNA SNORA17
Exons: 1
Source: RefSeq, a predicted model, not a curated record